AGAGUUUGAUCCUGGCUCAGGAUGAACGCUAGCGACAGGCCUAACACAUGCAAGUCGAGGGGCAGCACAUGAGUAGCAAUACGAUGGUGGCGACCGGCGCACGGGUGAGUAACACGUAUGCAACCUACCUUCUACCAGGGGAUAACCCGUUGAAAGACGGACUAAUACCCUAUAAUACAGGGGCUCCGCAUGGAGAUAUUUGUUAAAGAUUCAUCAGUAGAAGAUGGGCAUGCGCAUGAUUAGCUAGUUGGCGGGGUAACGGCCCACCAAGGCAUCGAUCAUUAGGGGUUCUGAGAGGAAGGUCCCCCACACUGGUACUGAGACACGGACCAGACUCCUACGGGAGGCAGCAGUGAGGAAUAUUGGUCAAUGGGCGAGAGCCUGAACCAGCCAAGUCGCGUGAAGGAAGACUGUCCUAUGGAUUGUAAACUUCUUUUGUACGGGAAUAAAGUGGGCUACGUGUAGCCUUUUGUAUGUACCGUACGAAUAAGGAUCGGCUAACUCCGUGCCAGCAGCCGCGGUAAUACGGAGGAUCCGAGCGUUAUCCGGAUUUAUUGGGUUUAAAGGGUGCGUAGGUGGAUUGAUAAGUCAGUGGUGAAAGUUUGCAGCUUAACUGUAAAAUUGCCGUUGAAACUGUCGGUCUUGAGUGCAAAUGAGGUANGCGGAAUGCGUCGUGUAGCGGNGAAAUGCUUAGAUAUGACNCANAACUCCGAUUGCGAAGGCAGCUUACUGGGAUGCAACUGACACUGAGGCACNAAAGCGUGGGUAUCAAACAGGAUUAGAUACCCUGGUAGUCCACGCNNUAAACGAUGAAUACUAGCUGUCUGCGAUAUANNGUANGCGGCACAGCGAAAGCNNUAAGUAUUCCACCUGGGGANUACNUUCGCCAGAAUG
This 894-nucleotide ribosomal RNA is filed under the name uncultured bacterium. Its description in RNAcentral is "bacterial SSU rRNA". It matches the Rfam family "Bacterial small subunit ribosomal RNA", at positions 8 to 896 of the family's 1533-position model. The record is from RNAcentral.